RNAcentral lists this ribosomal RNA (301 nucleotides) under uncultured bacterium. Its description in RNAcentral is "partial 16S ribosomal RNA". It matches the Rfam family "Bacterial small subunit ribosomal RNA", at positions 509 to 809 of the family's 1533-position model. The record is from RNAcentral.
CAGUAGCCGCGGGAAUACAGAGGGUGCGAGCGUUAAUCGGAUUUACUGGGCGUAAAGCGUGCGUAGGCGGCUUCUUAAGUCGGAUGUGAAAUCCCUGAGCUUAACUUAGUAAUUGCAUUCGAUACUGGGAAGCUAGAGUAUGGGAGAGGAUGGUAGAAUUCCAGGUGUAGCGGUGAAAUGCGUAGAGAUCUGGAGGAAUACCGAUGGCGAAGGCAGCCAUCUGGCCUAAUACUGACGCUGAGGUACGAAAGCAUGGGGAGCAAACAGGAUUAGAUACCCCUGUAGUCCCUGUCUCUUAUAA